GAUGAACGCUGGCGGCGUGCCUAAUACAUGCAAGUCGAGCGAACAGACGAGGAGCUUACUCCUCUGACGUUAGCGGCGGACGGGUGAGUAACACGUGGAUAACCUACCUAUAAGACUGGAAUAACUUCGGGAAACCGGAGCUAAUACCGGAUAACAUGUUGAACCGCAUGGUUCAACAGUGAAAGACGGUCUUGCUGUCACUUAUAGAUGGAUCCGCGUCGCAUUAGCUAGUUGGUAAGGUAACGGCUUACCAAGGCAACGAUGCGUAGCCGACCUGAGAGGGUGAUCGGCCACACUGGAACUGAGACACGGUCCAGACUCCUACGGGAGGCAGCAGUAGGGAAUCUUCCGCAAUGGGCGAAAGCCUGACGGAGCAACGCCGCGUGAGUGAAGAAGGUCUUCGGAUCGUAAAACUCUGUUAUUAGGGAAGAACAAAUGUGUAAGUAACUAUGCACGUCUUGACGGUACCUAAUCAGAAAGCCACGGCUAACUACGUG
RNAcentral lists this ribosomal RNA (497 nucleotides) under uncultured bacterium. Its description in RNAcentral is "partial 16S ribosomal RNA". It matches the Rfam family "Bacterial small subunit ribosomal RNA", at positions 28 to 507 of the family's 1533-position model. The record is from RNAcentral.